Molecule: long non-coding RNA, 645 nt
Filed under: Sorghum bicolor (sorghum)
Lineage: Eukaryota; Viridiplantae; Streptophyta; Magnoliopsida; Poales; Poaceae
Description: long non-coding RNA (SBIC_LNC018697)
Source: RNAcentral
AAUUAAGAUUCACUUGCACAUUCACUCAUACAUGCUGCUUCUACUCUAGAAGUACGCAUCCACAUACAUCCACUCAUUUCCUUCUCCAGAUUCACUCAAAAUUAUUCUACUCCUAUCCGGGAGAGAAUAGCCAAAAACAUUAUCCUAUCCUUGUUAUUCCCUGUGAAACAAAUGCUCAAGAUAUUUUGGUUACUACCACUUGCUACAUUAUUCCAGGAGGGUGAGUGCUCUAAAAAAAGUGAAUACGAGGAAAUGAAAAGGGGCAAGUGCCCGAAACCUCGAAGAAAAGAAAAAGUGAGACGAGAGGUAAAAAUGGACAAGUGUCCGACAAUAGAAUUAGGGGUACAAGAUACCCACCUGAGAGAAAAGAAAAAAGAAAAUAUAGAGCAUCUUAUUCCCCUCAAAAAGCUUCAAAGUGCAAGAAAGGUAUGUAUCCCCUCAAAAGAGCAAACGUAGAAUUAGACUUUGACCAUUAUCACCAUCAUCACCAUACGCCAUUCAUUCGCCACACAUGCACAUCUUGAUUUGACUUAUUGACUUGUUCUUCUGGAUCCAUGGUUUGACUAUGCAAUAAAUGUCUUGUAAGUAUGUAUACUUUAUCUCCCACCUAUGAGCUCCAGAUAUCAAAACCUUAUUAGAGUAGGG